CAGUCGCCGCGGUAAUACGUAGGGUGCGAGCGUUAAUCGGAAUUACUGGGCGUAAAGCGUGCGCAGGCGGUUAUAUAAGACAGAUGUGAAAUCCCCGGGCUCAACCUGGGACCUGCAUUUGUGACUGUAUAGCUAGAGUACGGUAGAGGGGGAUGGAAUUCCGUGUGUAGCAGUGAAAUGCGUAGAUAUGCGGAGGAACACCGAUGGCGAAGGCAAUCCCCUGGACCUGUACUGACGCUCAUGCACGAAAGCGUGGGGAGCAAACCGGAUUAGAUACCCCUGUAGUCCCUGUCUCUUAUAU
Molecule: ribosomal RNA, 301 nt
Filed under: uncultured bacterium
Lineage: Bacteria
Description: partial 16S ribosomal RNA
Rfam family: Bacterial small subunit ribosomal RNA
Source: RNAcentral